RNAcentral lists this microRNA (22 nucleotides) under Gallus gallus (chicken). RNAcentral describes it as "gga-miR-12232-5p". The record is from miRBase by way of RNAcentral. Lineage: Eukaryota; Metazoa; Chordata; Aves; Galliformes; Phasianidae.
UCUGCAGAGCCUCCCAGGAGCA